Molecule: ribosomal RNA, 429 nt
Filed under: Actinomycetes bacterium
Lineage: Bacteria; Bacillati; Actinomycetota; Actinomycetes
Description: Actinobacteria bacterium partial 16S ribosomal RNA
Rfam family: Bacterial small subunit ribosomal RNA
Source: RNAcentral
UAGGGAAUCUUCCGCAAUGGGCGAAAGCCUGACGGAGCAACGCCGCGUGAGUGAUGAAGGUCUUCGGAUCGUAAAACUCUGUUAUUAGGGAAGAACAAAUGUGUAAGUAACUAUGCACGUCUUGACGGUACCUAAUCAGAAAGCCACGGCUAACUACGUGCCAGCAGCCGCGGUAAUACGUAGGUGGCAAGCGUUAUCCGGAAUUAUUGGGCGUAAAGCGCGCGUAGGCGGUUUUUUAAGUCUGAUGUGAACGCCCACGGCUCAACCGUGGAGGGUCAUUGGAAACUGGAAAACUUGAGUGCAGAAGAGGAAAGUGGAAUUCCAUGUGUAGCAGUGAAAUGCGCAGAGAUAUGGAGGAACACCAGUGGCGAAGGCGACUUUCUGGUCUGUAACUGACGCUGAUGUGCGAAAGCGUGGGGAUCAAACAGG